RNAcentral lists this ribosomal RNA (497 nucleotides) under uncultured bacterium. RNAcentral describes it as "partial 16S ribosomal RNA". It matches the Rfam family "Bacterial small subunit ribosomal RNA", at positions 28 to 507 of the family's 1533-position model. The record is from RNAcentral.
GAUGAACGCUGGCGGCGUGCCUAAUACAUGCAAGUCGAGCGAACAGAUGAGGAGCUUGCUUCUCUGACGUUAGCGGCGGACGGGUGAGUAACACGUGGAUAACCUACCUAUAAGACUGGGAUAACUUCGGGAAACCGGAGCUAAUACCGGAUAAUAUAUUGAACCGCAUGGUUCAAUAGUGAAAGACGGUUUUGCUGUCACUUAUAGAUGGAUCCGCGCUGCAUUAGCUAGUUGGUAAGGUAACGGCUUACCAAGGCAACGAUGCGUAGCCGACCUGAGAGGGUGAUCGGCCACACUGGAGCUGAGACACGGUCCAGACUUCUACGGGAGGCAGCAGUAGGGAAUCUUCCGCAAUGGGCGAAAGCCUGACGGAGCAACGCCGCGUGAGUGAUGAAGGUCUUCGGAUCGUAAAACUCUGUUAUUAGGGAAGAACAAAUGUGUAAGUAACUGUGCACAUCUUGACGGUACCUAAUCAGAAAGCCACGGCUAACUACGUG